AGUGAACGCUGGCGGUAGGCCUAACACAUGCAAGUCGAACGGCAGCACAGUAAGAGCUUGCUCUUACGGGUGGCGAGUGGCGGACGGGUGAGGAAUACAUCGGAAUCUACUUUUUCGUGGGGGAUAACGUAGGGAAACUUACGCUAAUACCGCAUACGACCUACGGGUGAAAGCAGGGGAUCUUCUGACCUUGCGCGAUUGAAUGAGCCGAUGUCGGAUUAGCUAGUUGGCGGGGUAAAGGCCCACCAAGGCGACGAUCCGUAGCUGGUCGGAGAGGAUGAUCAGCCACACUGGAACUGAGACACGGUCAAGACUCCUAAGGGAGGCAGCAGUGGGGAAUAUUGGACAAUGGGGGCAAGCCUGAUCCAGCCAUACCGCGUGGGUGAAGAAGGCCUUCGGGUUGUAAAGCCCUUUUGUUGGGAAAGAAAAGCAGCAGGUUAAUACCCCGCUGUUCUGACGGUACCCAAAGAAUAAGCACCGGCUAACUUCGUG
This 492-nucleotide ribosomal RNA is filed under the name uncultured bacterium. RNAcentral's name for it is "partial 16S ribosomal RNA". It matches the Rfam family "Bacterial small subunit ribosomal RNA", at positions 29 to 507 of the family's 1533-position model. The record is from RNAcentral.